CCUAUGGGAGGCAGCAGUGGGGAAUAUUGGACAAUGGGGGGAACCCUGAUCCAGCCAUGCCGCGUGUGUGAAGAAGGCCCUCGGGUUGUAAAGCACUUUCAGUGAGGAAGAACGCCUGGUGGUUAAUACCCAUCAGGAAAGACAUCACUCACAGAAGAAGCACCGGCUAACUCCGUGCCAGCAGCCGCGGUAAUACGGAGGGUGCGAGCGUUAAUCGGAAUUACUGGGCGUAAAGCGCGCGUAGGAGGCUUGAUAAGCCGGUUGUGAAAGCCCCGGGCUCAACCUGGGAACGGCAUCCGGAACUGUCAAGCUAGAGUGCAGGAGAGGAAGGUAGAAUUCCCGGUGUAGCGGUGAAAUGCGUAGAGAUCGGGAGGAAUACCAGUGGCGAAGGCGGCCUUCUGGACUGACACUGACACUGAGGUGCGAAAGCGUGGGUAGCAAACAGGAUUAGAUACCCCUGUAGUC
Molecule: ribosomal RNA, 465 nt
Filed under: Vreelandella stevensii
Lineage: Bacteria; Pseudomonadati; Pseudomonadota; Gammaproteobacteria; Oceanospirillales; Halomonadaceae
Description: partial 16S ribosomal RNA
Rfam family: Bacterial small subunit ribosomal RNA
Source: RNAcentral